CGCGGGGUGGAGCAGCCUGGUAGCUCGUCGGGCUCAUAACCCGAAGGUCGUCCGGUUCAAACUCCGGCCCCCGCAACCA
RNAcentral lists this transfer RNA (79 nucleotides) under Salmonella enterica subsp. enterica serovar Newport str. L0167. Its description in RNAcentral is "tRNA-Met". It matches the Rfam family "tRNA". Rfam says of the family: Transfer RNA (tRNA) molecules are approximately 80 nucleotides in length. Their secondary structure includes four short double-helical elements and three loops (D, anti-codon, and T loops). The record is from RNAcentral. Lineage: Bacteria; Pseudomonadati; Pseudomonadota; Gammaproteobacteria; Enterobacterales; Enterobacteriaceae.